This 462-nucleotide ribosomal RNA is filed under the name uncultured bacterium. Its description in RNAcentral is "partial 16S ribosomal RNA". It matches the Rfam family "Bacterial small subunit ribosomal RNA", at positions 28 to 507 of the family's 1533-position model. The record is from RNAcentral.
GAUGAACGCUGACAGAAUGCUUAACACAUGCAAGUCUUUGGCGAAGCUGUGCUUGCACAGCCUAGCUAAGGCGGACGGGUGAGUAACGCGUAAGGAACUUGCCCUGCAGUCAGGGAUAACAGACGGAAACGACUGAUAAGACCUGGUAAAGUCAGCCGGACUCAUGUCCAGCCUGAUGAAAAGAGAUGCUGCAGGGGAGCCUUGCGUCCUAUUAGCUUGUUGGUGGGGUAACGGCCCACCAAGGCGAUGGUAGGUAGCCGGCCUGAGAGGGUGGGCGACCACAAGGGGACGGAGAUGCGGACCGUACUCCGGCGGGAGGCAGCAGUGGAGAAUAUUGGACAAUGGGGGCAACCAUGAACCAGCAAUGCUGUGGGCACGAUGAAGGUUUUCGGAUUGUAAAGUGCUUUCAGCAGGGAAGAAAAAAUGACGGUACCUGCAGAAGAAGCGACGGCUAAAUACGUG